RNAcentral lists this ribosomal RNA (292 nucleotides) under uncultured bacterium. RNAcentral's name for it is "partial 16S ribosomal RNA". It matches the Rfam family "Bacterial small subunit ribosomal RNA", at positions 505 to 796 of the family's 1533-position model. The record is from RNAcentral.
GUGCCAGCCGCCGCGGUAAGACGAGCAUCACGAACGUUAUUCGGAAUUACUGGGCUUAAAGGGUGCGUAGGCGGUGUAGCAAGUCGGGAGUGAAAUCCCGCAGCUCAACUGCGGAAUUGCUUUCGAUACUGCUGCGCUUGAGUGAGAUAGAGGUAAGCGGAACUUAGGGUGGAGCGGUGAAAUGCGUUGAUAUCCUAAGGAACACCGGUGGCGAAGGCGGCUUACUGGGUCUCUACUGACGCUGAUGCACGAAAGCCAGGGUAGCGAACGGGAUUAGAUACCCCUGUAGUCC